AGAGUUGUAUCCUGGCUCAGGAUGAACGCUAGCGGCAGGCCUAACACAUGCAAGUCGAGGGGUAACAGGAAAGCUUGCUUUUGCUGACGACCGGCGCACGGGUGCGUAACGCGUAUGCAACCUACCUCAUACUGGAGCAUAGCCCUUGGAAACGGGGAUUAAUACUCCAUGGUAUCAUGAAUUCGCAUGUUUUCAUGAUUAAAGAAUUUCGGUAUGAGAUGGGCAUGCGUCCCAUUAGCUAGUUGGUGAGGUAACGGCUCACCAAGGCGACGAUGGGUAGGGGGCCUGAGAGGGUGGUCCCCCACACUGGUACUGAGACACGGACCAGACUCCUACGGGAGGCAGCAGUGAGGAAUAUUGGUCAAUGGAGGCAACUCUGAACCAGCCAUGCCGCGUGAAGGAUGACGGCCCUAUGGGUUGUAAACUUCUUUUAUAUGGGAAGAAACUUAUCUACGUGUAGAUAACUGACGGUACCAUACGAAUAAGGAUCGGCUAACUCCGUGCCAGCAGCCGCGGUAAUACGGAGGAUCCAAGCGUUAUCCGGAUUCAUUGGGUUUAAAGGGUCCGUAGGCGGAUUUUUAAGUCAGUGGUGAAAGCCGACAGCUCAACUGUCGAACUGCCAUUGAUACUGGAGAUCUUGAGUACAAAUGAAGUAGGCGGAAUGAGUCAUGUAGCGGUGAAAUGCAUAGAUAUGACUC
This 698-nucleotide ribosomal RNA is filed under the name uncultured Bacteroidota bacterium. RNAcentral's name for it is "bacterial SSU rRNA". It matches the Rfam family "Bacterial small subunit ribosomal RNA", at positions 8 to 702 of the family's 1533-position model. The record is from RNAcentral. Lineage: Bacteria; Pseudomonadati; Bacteroidota.